GCCGCAUGGCCCGGUGUGAAAAACUCCGGUGGUGUAAGAUGGACCCGCGUCUGAUUAGCUUGUUGGCGGGGUAGAGGCCCACCAAGGCGACGAUCAGUAGCCGGCCUGAGAGGGUGGACGGCCACAUUGGGACUGAGACACGGCCCAAACUCCUACGGGAGGCAGCAGUGGGGGAUAUUGGACAAUGGGGGAAACCCUGAUCCAGCGACGCCGCGUGAGUGAAGAAGUAUUUCGGUAUGUAAAGCUCUGUCAGCAGGGAAGAAAGAAAUGACGGCACCUGACCAAGAAGCCCCGGCUAACUACGUGCCAGCAGCCGCGGUAAUACGUAGGGGGCAAGCGUUAUCCGGAAUUACUGGGUGUAAAGGGAGCGUAGACGGUGAUGCAAGUCUGGAGUGAAAGGCGGGGGCCCAACCCCCGGACUGCUCUGGAAACUGUGUAACUUGAGUGCAGGAGAGGUAAGCGGAAUUCCUAGUGUAGCGGUGAAAUGCGUAGAUAUUAGGAGGAACACCAGUGGCGAAGGCGGCUUACUGGACUGUAACUGACGUUGAGGCUCGAAAGCGUGGGGAGCAAACAGGAUUAGAUACCCUGGUAGUCCACGCCGUAAACGAUGAUUACUAGGUGUCGGGG
Molecule: ribosomal RNA, 627 nt
Filed under: uncultured bacterium
Lineage: Bacteria
Description: bacterial SSU rRNA
Rfam family: Bacterial small subunit ribosomal RNA
Source: RNAcentral